RNAcentral lists this ribosomal RNA (431 nucleotides) under uncultured bacterium. RNAcentral's name for it is "partial 16S ribosomal RNA". It matches the Rfam family "Bacterial small subunit ribosomal RNA", at positions 29 to 507 of the family's 1533-position model. The record is from RNAcentral.
AACGAACGCUGGCGGCAGGCUUAACACAUGCAAGUCGAGCGCCCAGCAAGGGGAGCGGCAGACGGGUCUGUAACGCGUGGGAACGUACCCUUAUGUUCGGGAUAGCUCCGGGUAACUGGAAUUAAUACCGAAUGUGCGCUUUGGGGGAAAGAUUUAUCGGCUAAGGAUCGGACCGCGAUGGAUUUGCUUGUUGGUGGGGUAAACGCCUACCAAGGCGACGAUCCAUAGCUGGUCUGAGAGGAUGAUCAGCCACAUUGGGACUGAGCCACGGCCCGAACUCCUACGGGAGGCGGCAGUGGGGAAUAUUGGAAUAUGGGCGCAAUCCUGAUCCACCCAUGCCGCGAGAGUGAUUAAGGCCUUAGGGAUGUAAAUCUCUUUCACCGGAGAAGAUAUUGACGGUACCCGGAGAAGAAGCCCCGGCUAACUUCGUG